GACCUCGACCGGGUGUGGACGCAUGGGC
Molecule: small RNA, 28 nt
Filed under: Bombyx mori (domestic silkworm)
Lineage: Eukaryota; Metazoa; Arthropoda; Insecta; Lepidoptera; Bombycidae
Description: ovarian small RNA-15508
Source: RNAcentral